This 1842-nucleotide long non-coding RNA is filed under the name Manduca sexta (tobacco hornworm). Its description in RNAcentral is "uncharacterized LOC115452239". Lineage: Eukaryota; Metazoa; Arthropoda; Insecta; Lepidoptera; Sphingidae. The record is from RNAcentral.
GUGGAUGGGACUGGCUUUUAUUUCAAGCCAGGUGUCGGACGGCGCCCAAAUGUCCAGGAACGAUCUGUGCAAAUACAUGCACAGAAUGUUGCUGGACAUUUGGGAUGUUGUAUUUUCAUAGCUUUACAUUAAAAUUAUUUAUUACAAAAUGAAUGUUAGUCCUUUUUAACAUUAAUCUUUGAGCUGUGCCAUUAGAGUUUCCACACUGAGCUGCCCCAACCUUCUAGAAAGCACUCAAGUUUAGCAAGCGUGAUAUGAAAAGGCCCUUGAUGGCCAGAAAAUGAAGAGUCGGCUCCCACUCGAUCUUGUGCAAGAUCCAGUCAGAGGAAGCCGAAGGAAACACAAGAACGACAAAGAAAAGAAAUUUUGAGAAGCUGAUAAAUUAUCUUUAUGUUUAGUUAAUUGUAGAGGGUCCUCUUUAUAAUCUAUCAAUGCUAUAAAAGAGGACGUUGUCUUAAAUGUUCUUGAUCGUUCUGCGUCUUAGAUCCUUGAAGAUAAGUAGAGGUUGGUUCUUAAAGCCCCAAAACGCUCUGUGUGAAACCCUGUUGUGAAUGAUGAUACCCGCGCUCUGCUGUGCGUUCAUUAUUUAUAGCUAGUGCGAAAGUUGAGGUCUUGUAUAACAUUUCAUCGCGAAUAAUUAUUAGCGUGCCUAAUUUGCUACGAUUUUAAAAUAUUCCAUGCACUAAUUUCCAGACAAUAUAGUAGAUUUUGAUAAGCCGUCAAUCAAUAUGCUCGAAUAUGUAGUCUUCCAUCUUCUAAGCGUCCGGAAGUUAUAACUUCAGCAGUCUUAAUGUUAACGUCCUUAGCAUUAUUAAUACUUAUUGCAACGUAUUGCUUAUCUACGAGCCAAAUUUUAAAACCAAAAUAUUUAUAUUCAGAUUUCGUCUAUCUCAUGUACUUUUUGAAAUAUACUGUACUAGAAUUUAGGUAUUAUGAAACAGUUUAAGUGUGUGCAUUUCUGUGUGUAUUUUAAUAUCUCCUUGUUAAAGCAGUCUCUCAAUUUUAUAAUUAACAUAAUUAAUAAUUAUAAUGUUUAAUAUGCAAGACAUUGCUGGCAAUGAGCCAAAUUUUUUACAUUUCUUAAAUAUUUCUCUUUUUCUUCUUUGUCUAUGGUAUUCAAGUUUAGAAUUAUCUUAAUGUGCUUUAUAUGUGCACGUUUUUAUUCCCUAUUAGCUAAAUCGGUCUCUAUCUUCAAUCAUUUUAUGAAGACUAAUCCUUGAAUACUUUAAUAUUAAUGAAUUACCUUAUAUUACUAAGCUGAGCCCGGGUUUCAUCUAUUUUUAUUAAAUUUUUAGAACUAUUUAGAAGCACUUACUCCAUUUUGAAACUAAUAUUCCAACUGUCAACACGUUGAUUGAAAAAUAAUGGUAUGAAAGAUUUUAUAUCUUAUAAAUGACCAGUUAAUUCGAAAAUGACAUAUCGAGAUUGUAUUGGACAAUAUACAAGUGACUGAGAUUACCAUCGCCAGGUGAAGUUUGUGUUGUAUUCCACCGGCAGCAGGGGAUAUCGCCAGGGUGCUAGUAACCAAAAGAGGCUGAGGUCAGACCGACCACCGGCAAUCAGGCAUAUCCUUUCAAAUGUAUUCAAAGAUUGAUGCGCCCAACGCAUCUUAGGAAGAGAUUAGACGGAUGACGUCAUCAGUGGCAGAUUUUAAAACUCGACGAUAAAACUGAUUUCGCCGAUAGCAAGGGACAAAUUAGCUUAAGAACUUGACACCAUGUCAUUUCAAUCAAUGUGUUUCUUUUAAGUGUAUACUUGCAAUAAACAUUUUAUUAAUUGUCAAAAUGUAAUCGUAUGGUAGAUAUCAUUAUGAAAUAAAUUUGAAACGCAACUCUAGCUGUA